This 89-nucleotide microRNA precursor is filed under the name Canis lupus familiaris (dog). RNAcentral's name for it is "mir-8799 microRNA precursor family". It matches the Rfam family "mir-8799 microRNA precursor family". Lineage: Eukaryota; Metazoa; Chordata; Mammalia; Carnivora; Canidae. RNAcentral also lists the same sequence under 1 other name. The record is from Rfam by way of RNAcentral.
GGGGGAAGGCCGGAUCCUGGGCUGUGUCCCGGCGCCCUGUGCUCCUGGGCCUGCACUAUUGGAUUUGCGCUCCCGCCCCGCAGCCCCCU